UUGGAAAGAGUAUAUACCACUAAUUCACAUUUCAAACACGGACAUAUAAUUGAGUAUCAAUUGAGAUCUUAACAUAUAUUUACCUCCCAAUAAAAUAGAAGCACUCCAAAAAGUCGAGAGAGCAUGUACAAAUUCAAAGCAUAAAAGGAACUAAAUUACAAUAAAGAUAAUGCAUUAAGCCUGAUACUUACACUUGGACGUCCAUUCUUGUCAUAGUGAAUUGCAUAUCUUAUCAACUCUCCAAGCUCCGAAAAUAAUUCCUGUGACGCAAGACCAUUUUCAACAAAUCUUCAAAAGAAACCCAUUGGAAGGAUGAAUGAAAUGUCAACAAGCAUGGUUCAGCUAGUACCCUUAUAUCUUCAUUUGUCACUCCAAUGUCCAAGUUGGAGACAUAUAACUUUGUACCAUUUGCUAAUCCUGACAACCCAGCUGCUCUAAGGCCAUCUUCAAACAGACCAUUCUGCCAUGGCAAAUUCUUGGUUCUGCGGAAGGACUGGUGCAUGCAAACCAGAAAUAUACCAUGAUUGGGAAAGUAAAUGUCAGCAUAUGACCAAGAAAGUAAUAUAAUACCAUUCCUCAAGAUAAAUCAGAUAUCAGCAAAAUUCCACGAAGAAGUCACAUUGAGAUGCUCAAACAACAUAAUCUAAUUCCACGGAAAAUUUCGAGGUAUGUUAAAUUAGAGUAAUGGGUGGCUAGCUGAUUGAACCGACUGCAUGUCAACAGGUGCUAUGAAAAAGGCGAGAGCUCCAGUUCUAAAGUUCAGCGAAAGAAGGCACCUUUGCAAAAACAUCAUGAACUGAUACUGAAAUCUCGCCCCAAAAGUAAGUCCAUCAUUUUGCAAUGGUAUCCAUCAUAAAAUAAUUCCACAAGCAGCGCUAGCACAUGUAUCCAUCAUGAAAUCCCCCUCUAAAACAAUGGCAGCUAAAUAAUGUUUAAAGAUGGCUCAGAAAAUUAAAGCCUUUAGUGGUUAGCGGAUGUUAAAAUGGUGAAAGCGCUCAAGUUUUCGACUAAUGAAGCUCCUCAACAUAAGGUGCAAGGUGUCUUAAUGGGCCACCAAUGAUCUUCUACUUUUGUCAAGAGAAUCCAUAGCAAAGCCCUUGAACAAAAACCCAAACAUGAUAAAAGCACACGUAUCCAUCAUGAACUUCCCAUCUAAACACAAUAAUGGCAGCUAAAUAACGUUUAUAGAUGGCUCAGAAUAUUCAAGCCUUAAGUGGUUAGCAGAUGUUAAAAUGGUGAAAGCUCUAAAGUUUUCAACUAUAGAAGCUCCUCAACGAAGAUGCAAAGUAGCAAAUUGUCUUAAUGGGCCACCAACAAUCUUCUACUUUUGUCAAAAAAAAAUCCACAGCAAAGCCCUUGAACAAAAAACCACAUGAACAGAACUGUGAAGUGGACAGGAUAAAAGCACUAAGAUUAAACAGCUUUUUCCAGUCUGUGGAAAUAUAAGCUUCUCCUUGGACCAAAUAGUAUCACUAAAGGAAAAUUACAGAUCCUUCAUUUGAGUCACUAGAGAUAGCAGACUGUCAACGAAAUGCAUAAGACUUCAAUGUUUUGAGCUUGCCUUGGCAAUGGUGUGAGCUGAUGACCGAGCAUUUAUACCAAGUGGACCUCUGCCAGGAACUUCAGUAGUCCUUCCACCUCUAAAGGAUCCUCGUGAGCCUCUUCCACGCCGAGGCCUGCCUCGUCCUCUGCCUCUAUCACUGUUGCGCCUGCUCUUAAUCAUAUCAUCAAGAGACAUAUCUAGAGAAGCCAUUAAUUAAGAAAACCAAAAAACCCUCUGCUGAACAAAGCAAGUCUGCAAGAAAGAAAGACCAAUUGCAUGUCUCAUGAGUACUAAUGUCAAACAGAUAUAACAAAAGGAAUACAUUUUUAGUGCAAACUAAAAGAUCAAGAUCAAAAUAUUGCAAAACAAUCAACCGUUACUUUCAUAUAUAAGGGCAAUAAAGUAAAAAUUAGCUAAAUAUGACUAAUUAUUGUUGAUGAAAACUAAUACAUUUUUUUAUUAUCUGAAGAAAAAAAUCAAAUUUUAAGAAAAUAUGAUGUGAUGAAUGAGUUUCAUGUAUAUCCUAACUUAGUAAAGCCUAAAUAAUUGACAGCACACUUAAUUAUUACUGGGAAAAACUAGUACAUGUAUUUGAUAUUUGAAAAAGCAUAACAAUUUUUAAGAGAAUGGAUAUGAUAAAUUAACAUGAUGUAGAUCCAAACUUGGCAAUGCCUCGAUAAUGGAAAACAAAUAAUUUUAUUGGCUUCCUUAUUUAAAAGAAGAUGUACAUGUAGCAUGAUUGAUCUGGUUAAGCUGGGGCUGACAAUUUUCUAGCCCUACAAUUUGGUCAUAUCUGAGAAGAUUGGAUCUCUACGGACACCCGUGACUUAUUUUAAAACAAGAAUUUUGCUCGCAUUUCCCUAACCAGAUCAAUCGACAUCAAGAUAAAAUAAUUUAGACAAGCAGAUACAAAAAAAAAUAUACACACACACACACACAUAUAUAUACUUUUCAAAAAUAGAGAUGACUAAACAGAUAUCUAAAAAUUUCUAGCCAAACAGAUGCAUAAGAUGCUAUUCAAAAGAAAACAUGAAACUAAUAGAUCCGACAUCCCUCAAAAUUGCACAAAAAUAUUAAAACAAAACAACAUAGUAUAUCUCGUCGGGGAAAAAAAUCAAUUGACAGGAUUUUCAAAAAACAAAGUUCGGUGAAUUUUUUUAUUUUUUUUUUUAAACUUUAAAAUCAAAAUCCAAAUUAACAAUUCUAACAAAUACGUGGAUAUUAUACAGAACAAAAUAAACAAAAUAAGAAAUAACAGCAAAAUUUGCACGGGUAAAUCAAACUACCUGGAUCAGAUCUAAAAUUUUUCACGACCAAAUUUUCUAAAGAAAAAAUAACCGUAAAUAUAGAUGAAAAUGAGUGGCGAGGAUGAGAUCUGAAAGAGAUGAGAAUGUUGAAUGAUUGCACAAAGCGAGGCUUCGGAGGACCUAGAAUUAGAAGAGAGAUAGGAUACUGAAAGCAUUGACUUCUGACUUUUUGAGAAAGAGGAGACCUGUUACUGUUAGUGCCUUCUAUCCAUUUUAGGGUUGAACCGGACCCUAGAAUCAAAUCGAUUCUUUUAAGCAAAAAUAUUUAAACGAGUAUCAGAAUUAAUAAGUGAUUGGUUUGAUUUUUUUAAUUUUUUUCUUUUUUACAUUAAGGCCUCAUUUGCUACACAUUAAUAUAAAAAUAAUAAUGAAAAAUAUAGUCGUUAAGGGAUCCACAUAAGAUAUAGAAAGUCAAAUAUGAUGACUUAAUGUGAUGGAUAACGAUCAUAUUUUUCAUUUUAACGGGCAAAUAAUGAGAAAUAAACUGGGGCUAAAUAAGACAAUUUUUUUAAUUUUUCAAAAUAAAUUUGUCAACUAGUUAAUUCAGAAAAAAUAUCGUUUUUUUCUAUUUUAUGUCUAAAAUCAAUUUUGUAAUUCAAAUUUCAAAAAAUCAAAAUUGAAUUAUUAAGAGCUUGUUUGGGAGUGAUUUUGAGAAUUGAUUUUUUGACCGUUAUAAUAAAAGUGGGGUCCACCUAUGAGAGAAGAAGUCAAAUAUGACGGCUGGAAUAGUAAAAUAACGAUCAAAAAAUCAAUUUUUCUGGUGAAAAAAUGGGGCCCAAACAGCCCCUAAGUGAGCUGAGUUUUUCUCCAUCAUUCCGUCGUUUCUCAAAAAAUCAAAAUUGAAUGUUGAAUAAUUGCACAAAGCAAAGCUGAGCAGCUGUGCGCAUGUGCCACUCUUCAUCUUACUCAAUUUUUGUCCUAUUCAUUGAAUUUUCUCCACUUUGAUAGAAGUAUUUUGUAUACAUUUAUGAAUAAAUCUUAUUAGACAAUUAUUAUUUGUAUAUUUUUAAAUUGGAUUACGUUAUUUUAUAAGAGUUAUUGUGAUAUUGUUUUAAGAACUAAAAUUGAACAUGUAAUUAGUUGGAUUAAUAUUAUUUUACAGUAAGUGUUAGAAAAUUAAUUAUAGUACGAUACCAAACCGGUUCAGUUCGAUAAUUAAAUUUAGAUCCGACAAUUUUAUUUACAAAAUAUGCAAAAAAUUUGAUUCGAUUCGAUUCUCUUUAGAAUCGGAUCAUGUCCGGCUAUAAUUCAUUUCGUUACUAUUUCUUCUCACAUUUAUGCCUGGGAUAAUUAUUUAAAUGGUCACUAAAUUAUAGUAUUACUACUUAAUAACUGAACUUAAAAAUAUAUCUUAAUAAUUAUUAAAUUAUGCACCGUAUUAUCCAUUCAUCACUCAAGUAAAAAAAUUCGUUAGGUUCAACAAACGAUGUUGAUUUGAGGGAUGGAUAAGUAAUACGAUGCAUAAUUCGAUGACCAUUAAAAUACAAUUUUAAGUUCAAUUAUUAAACACUUUGUUGAUCGCCAUUUUUGAAAACUUAUUUUCAAUUACAUUUUCUCCAAUAAAAUAAUUUUACAUGUAAAUCGAUUUUUUUAACCACGCAUUUUUUAAAAAAUAACUAUUCCAAAAUAUAUUUUUUUCCCCAAAAGGGGCUCAAACAAAGGCCAAGUAGUAACAAUUGGUAAUUUCAAUCAUCAUUGAGAUACAAUUUUAAGUUAAACUAUUAAAAGGUAACAAUUUUUUCUUAACUCAAAUCGAUCUCUAUAAAAGGAGAAACCAAAUAAAAAAAAGAAAAAAAAAAGAGUAGACUGAAAAUCAAGAGUCUAUAAAUAAAUAAUAUAUAUAUAAUUUUAGAAUUAGGUAUCACAUGUUUCUACAAAAAGAUCAAUUUUUCCAUCUUGGGCUCUAAGAAUGAGAUAUAGAAGAUGAAAGGUUGUGAUGUGCCUUGAGAUGGUCAUCUCUUGUUCCCCUGUCAAUGGGGAAUUCGCUUCGGACCGUCACUCUACUGUGUGUGGCCCAUCCUGUAGGCACCUUUGGAAAGCAGGGAAUGUGACAACGUACACACUUUCCUUUACUCCAUAGUGCCUUUUCAUAAGUUGUACGGCUUGGUAGCCUGAAAUUAACUUGGAUUCGCCAAAAUGCCUCAUCUAUAAGAGCUCGGCUCGCGAGACGUCUAUUUCAUGGUAGGGUUCAAAACCUCACCUCGCUCUUGUGACGUGCUAUGUUUCCCCUUUCUAUUCCCAAACAAGGGGUGAGUCUCAUGCGUCAAUUUGUGGAUCGCGGUCUAGUUCCAAAGUGAACAAAUAAUCCUAUCUCUUGCAGAAACUGCUAAUCCUAAAAUUUCCAAAGUGAACAAAUAAUCAUAUAUAAUAUUUUGUCAAAAUCUCAACCACCAUUUCCAAAAAAUCAAUCUUCGUUCAAAAAGUCCAUUUUUUGUGGAAAAAUGACAUACCCACUAGAUAAAAUUCAAUCUUUCGCAGAAAUCUGGGAUGUCCAAUUUCGAAAAGUUCAAUUUUUUUUUUCGAUUUAUACUAGGCCUUGGCACGGUUUGGUUUAGGUUAGUUUCAACUCCAACCCGAAACCAAAAUCAAAUUAGUCGAUUUAGGUGAAUUUCAACCAAAACCAACUCCACUCUAACUCUUAAAUUGACUUGGUUCGGUUGAUAGAUUUGGACUUUUAGUCUAAAUUGAAUUUAUUUUUAAAAAUUGUCCAAGUUUUAGAUUCAAUUAGAUUACAAGAACUAAAAUAACUAAAUAACUUUAUAAUAUAAGAAUCACUUACUAACAAAUAAAAUUAGAUUACUAGAAAUAGAUCAACGGAAAACUUAAGAAUUUUGUUAUCAUUUUAUACAUUAUGUAGCAUGACUAUCUGAGUAGGGAAAAAUGCUAAGUACAAUAUAAUGAGCCUGUGAAAGAAAAUUUUCAAUACUAUUAAUUAUCGGCAACAUCAUAGAUUGGAGGGAAUCGUAAUAUAGUUAUGAGAUUAUGGUUCAUCUUUUGAUUUUUAUUUUUCUUAAAAAAGGUAAAUAUGUAAGUAGGUUGGGUUGGUUCAAUUAACCAGCAUUUUGAGACUUUAAACCAUGACCGAACCAAAUCACUAUGGUUUUUUUUAAAAGAAAAUCAACCCAAACCAAUCACCUGUGUUAAUCGGUUCGAUUUGAUUGAUUUGAUCGAUUUUUUCUUAUUUUUUUGCCCAAGCAUAAUUUAUAGGCUUCUAAUUUUCAAUUUCCUCUUUUUCCCUUCACUUUCGUUGGUUUAUUCUUUUACUGAGAUCGAGUCAAGGAAAGAAGGAAUUGCUACUACUUAAUAACUGAACUUAAAAUUGUAUCCAUAUGGUGAUUGAACUAUAUCAAUUGUUACCACUUAAUAACUGAGCUAUAAAUUAUGCCUUUAUUUGAGUUUUAUUUUUUUAAAACUCAUUUUCAUUAAUACGUUCUCCAACAAAUUAAUUGUAUAUGUAAAUCGAAAAAAUUUCUUACUUUUUAACCACAUAUUCUCCAAAAGCCAACUAUUCGAAAAUAAUUUUUUUCUCCAAAAAUGGGGCUUAACAAGGACUACAUCUAAAUAAUCAAUAAAUUAUACAUCGUGUUACUCAUCCAUCGUUCAAAUAGAAAAAUCCGUUAGGUUUAACAAACGGCGUUGACUUGAGCGAUGGAUAGGUAACACGAUGCAUUGUUCAGUGGUCAUUGAGAUAAAUUUUCAAUUUCAGUUAUUAAAUAGUAGCACUUGGUAUAGUUCUGUGACCAUUCAAAUAAUUAACCUGUUUAUGCCUUUGUUUGAGCUCCUUUUUUUCUUAAGGUUUUAUAAUAAUUAUUUUUUGGAGAAUAUGUAAUUAAAAAGUAGAGAAAAGUUUUGAGUUUAUGUGUAAAUUAUUUCAUUGGUAGAAUAUUUGAUUUAGAAUAAGUUUGAAAAAUGUUAAUUUUUGGAUAAUGAAAAUCAAACGAGAGCUAUGUGUUUGUAAAGGUGAGGCGUCGAUCGGGUAAUGGACUUUUUAAUCUAUAUUUGGAAGAUCUAGGAAAGUGGAAAACAUUUUUGUAAAUGAAAAAGAAAAAUCAUGAAAAUAGAAAUAUAAAGUAAUUUGUUCCUUUGCAAUCAACAAAUAAAUAUUUAAAAAUUUGUGAAUUACUAAAAUUGCGAAUUCCCAAAAAUUUUGGACCUAAAAAAGCGGCCAUGAUUACAUGGGCGGAUGGAGGGGAUCAAGCCGGCCUCAAGUCCUUCUAGGUUGGGCCUUGCCAGUAGGACAUAAUUCUAUCCAACCAGGGGGCAUGUAGAAUUAUUCUCCUAGAUUUAUACUAACGAAUUUUCUAUUAAGUUUUGCUACACAUACACACGUUCUCACAAGAGAAAGGCUCAUGCUUUUUUUUUUUUAUUGGGCAUGGACCCCUCCCUCUUGUGAAGAAUGGGUACAUCAGAGCGUCAACGUCAGUGUACAAAUAGCAAAAUUCUUUUAUAUUUGAUUGAAGGAGCGUGGACCCCACCAUCUUGCAAGGGACGUGUACACCAAAACGUCAACGUUGGUGUACAAAUAGCAAAAUUCUUUUCCAUUUGACCAAAGGAUGUCUUAGAUAGGUACUUCAAUCGCAUGUCAUUUUGGAUUGAGAUUCUUUAUAACUACUCGAAAUUAUAGUUGUAGUGGAAAGAGAUANNNNNNNNNNNNNNNNNNNNNNNNNNNNNNNNNNNNNNNNNNNNNNNNNNNNNNNNNNNNNNNNNNNNNNNNNNNNNNNNNNNNNNNNNNNNNNNNNNNNNNNNNNNNNNNNNNNNNNNNNNNNNNNNNNNNNNNNNNNNNNNNNNNNNNNNNNNNNNNNNNNNNNNNNNNNNNNNNNNNNNNNNNNNNNNNNNNNNNNNNNNNNNNNNNNNNNNNNNNNNNNNNNNNNNNNNNNNNNNNNNNNNNNNNNNNNNNNNNNNNNNNNNNNNNNNNNNNNNNNNNNNNNNNNNNNNNNNNNNNNNNNNNNNNNNNNNNNNNNNNNNNNNNNNNNNNNNNNNNNNNNNNNNNNNNNNNNNNNNNNNNNNNNNNNNNNNNNNNNNNNNNNNNNNNNNNNNNNNNNNNNNNNNNNNNNNNNNNNNNNNNNNNNNNNNNNNNNNNNNNNNNNNNNNNNNNNNNNNNNNNNNNNNNNNNNNNNNNNNNNNNNNNNNNNNNNNNNNNNNNNNGGUCAACUGCUUUAACACUAAGUGUGAAUCAAGUGAUCAACUAAUGCAUGCCUAGGCCGGCAUAGGUGUGCCUAGGAGGCGCUUAAUUAUUUUUUUAAAAACCCUUUUAUUUAACUUUAAUUUAUUAACUUUUUUAUUUUAUUAUUUUUUCUUUUUCUAAAUGGCUUUUAUUUGACUUUAGUUUCAAAUUUUUAAAUAAAGUUAUUUGCACAAAAGUAAUCCAAUAAAGAUUUAAAUAAAAUUUAAGUUACGGUACUAUCUAUAUUAUAUAAUUAUAUUUUGAAACUUAUCGUUUUGUUGAAAACUUUAAAAGUAUGUAUAAGUUCUCAUAAAUCUGUUAAGUAGGACUUAUCUAGUUGAAGUUAAAAAAUAAUCUAGUUUUUGCAUUUCGAAAACUUAAAAAUUGUAUAAGUAACUAAUUGUAGAAGUUAUUAAAUAUAAUAUUUUAUUGUUUCAAAUCUUUGGUAUGUAUUAUUUUAAUUAAAUUCAUUUUAGAAUGAUUAAGUACUUAAAAUAAUAAUAAAAAUAAGUAACUUUUUUUACGCCAAGGCCUCGCCUAAGCUCGUAAAGCUUGAAGCUUGUCAUAUCUUACGCCUUUUAGAACACUGCUUUUAACAAGUGAUACGCAUAUGCAGUAAUGUGAACAUAUUCCGCUUCUGACUCCCACCUAAAAAAUAAAAAUAAGAAUCCAAAGAAAACCUAGUUGGGCACAGCAAUAAUUGUGAUUGUGUAGGGUUGAAAUCAUAUUACUCCUAAAGAAGUAGGAAGAUUGAUGAUGGCAUGUGCGCAAUACAAAUCUAGUUUUUACUUAAACAAGGGACAACAACUUACAUCAUCCAGCAGCAUACUGUUGCAGUAAUAAUCAAUGUCAGGUGUAACCUGCAACAUGAAAUACAGUUAGCAAUAUGCAAGGCAGGAGUCACCACCGUUGCCAAAGCUAUGUGAAUGAUCAAGAGUAUAGCAAACAUCUAUUCAAUAUUUUACCUAGCAUAACACGUUGAAUGAGUCCCACCAAUAAAGUUAAUGGCACCAAACUCUUAACAGGUAUGAUUACAACACUGUGAUUGGCAUUAUUAAUUGGAUUCAAAUAUUCAAGACAUGACAUUAAAUUAUAAAACUAUAUUAAGAGCCUAUCUGCAUGACUUUUAAUGUGUUUGGUAAUUUUUUUAAGGAAAGUGCUCACAAGUGAAGAAAGAAGAUACUUUAAGAGCAUGUUUGACUGAGGGGCAUGCUUUCAGGCACAAGCCUCAGGUCAAUUAGGUGUGCACUUCUCAAACUCUCCCUUUCUUCACUGAUUUAUAGUUUUACCAACUUCAGUCUUUUAGUCUGUUUUAUUUCAUACCUCGAGCAUUUUAAGGGACUUUUGGAAUGUUUUAAACAUACCUCAACACAAAAACUAAAUGAUAGGAAGAAUUUGAGUAGAAAAGGGAAGUGAAAAGUCCAUGCAUGCUAAGUCCUCCGCUCUUAAAACUGCCAUACAUCAUCCCAUCGGUUAUGUUGCAGCUUUUUGGUGACAGAAUGAGGUGUGCCUGAUAAGUUCUCCCUAUUCUGUUUUCUUUUAUAAUUCUUUUGCUACCUCCUGUCUUUUGGUUUUCUUUCCUCUCAUUUAUCUUUAAAAAUGAGUAAGCACAAAAUUCUUUAGAACAACUGAUUAGCUGUUUCAUUUGUUAAAAGACUUAGUUGCUGAGCAAUCCUACUUUUUGUUAAUUGUCAGUUGGGUUAUAUUUUUAUUCUUCUAUUCUAGGUAUUGCUUGCACUAGUUUGAGUGUUUCCUCUCGAAUAACUUUUUCUCCUUUUACUUGCUCUUUGCUUGGUUAAUUAUCAUUCACUCGAAGACUGAAAUUAUGUGUUAGAUUUAUAUUCUUGAAUAGUAGAAUUUGGAUUAAUAAGCUAAAUGUUAAACUUGUUAACAUUGUUUUUUUCUUUUUCGUUACUUUCAUAGCUUUAUCAUUUUCUUGAUUUAUUUAUUAGCUUAUGUUGAAGUUUAUGCUUCAAAAUGUUUUGAUUUAUACUUGGAAGCAUCUCUAGGCUUGAAAUCCCAUAAUGGAUGUAAAUACCUUGACACACAGUUAUCAUUUAUAAUUUUUAAAACAUAGAUCCUUAACACACUACAGUCUAAUUGGAGGCAUCAAUCCAACUGUAGCCAGGAAAAGAUUCAUAUUUCAUUCAUCAAAACACUAGCAUCUCGCAAGUUGCAAGUCCAACAAAGUAUUCACCCUCAAACUAUUGCUGAUUAGUUCUAAGAAGUAUCUAACAAGCAAAAUAACAUUUGUUUCAUAAAUAAAAUUCCAGCUAUCAGACAUGAUUAAGAUGGAAAACUUUAUCUACGAUAAUAAAUCAGCUCAAGGUGCGGCUCCUUCAUCCAAAAACCCAUAUAAUAACAAAAACCAUCUCUCCUUGAUAUCGUAAGUACUACAAUAGUAAGAAUCGGAUUGUUUGAUGAUACACAGCCAGGGCAGACAAACAUUAGCGUUAGCUUGAUAAUACAUUCAAAUACUGAAGUCAAGAAACAAUUUGCGAUUCAAGGAAUGCGAUGAAGAACUGGGUAAAAAUCAUCUAAUCAAACUCAAACUCAAAACAAAAAAGAAAAAAAAUGAUGUUGAGAAAAAAAAUAAACGCACAGAUUUGCAGAGGGUCCUCUGUUGCAGCAGAUUCUAGUGCAUAGAGACGCGAUGAUCCCAACCACAAGGAAAAUAAGGGUUGUCACCAGAAACCCCAUGUCCAAUUCGAUCUCUAUUAUUUCUGCGACAAUUAUUUCCAUGUCAUAACAUUUUCCAGAUCUAUAAUUUCUCAAAAAGCCAAACAUAUUAUAAAUCGAUCUCAAAUUGAAAAUAAUAUCGAAUUUAAAAAAAUAAGAUAAGUAUAAUUAGGUAUUUGGAGAACAAAAAUUACCCAAAUUGACUCGCAGGAUAAGGGUUCUGUGAACAAAUCUGAGACUUUUCUAAACACAGUUUUCUAGAGAAAAUUAUUAUGGAACGGAAGGAAAAAAAUGGGAAGAGAUCAGAAGAUGUAGAUUUGAGGAAAAAUAAAUAAAAGUGAAUUUAUGUAGGGUUUAAUAAUGGGUGUUCAUUGAUUGUUUUUUUGAUAGCAGAAUGGGAGAUUAUUUAUUUAUUUAUUUAUUUAUCUUUUGGUACCAGAUUUGUGGAUUUGAGGGGGGAAGGAGAUAACAAAUAUUAAUUUGGUGGAUUUUAGAUGUAGGGAAGUAUGUUUUCUUCCGUUGAAAAGUAUUUUUCUGAUUUAAAAAUUUAUAAAAAGAUAAGUUUAGGUCCACUUGCUAAAAUUUAUUUUAUAAUUAUAAGUUACGAAUCAUAUAAAUUAUAUAAAUAAAAACGAUAGUUUAUACAAUAAAAAGUGAUGAGGUAAAAUUUUUCUGAUUCGAAUGAAGAGCUCUCUUUAUCCGCCUUCGAACUUUAAAAACAAGCUUCUCCAAUGAGCUUUGACAAAAAUAGUUUUACUCUCAAUAUUGUGAAUUUGACAUUUUUACCUUGUCUCGCUUGACAAAUAGGAUGACAUAAAAUGUGUAUAUAUUUUCUUCCUUUUACUUAUUUUUAUUUUAUUUUGUCUGUCUAAUUUUACGAGAACUUAUAUAUCAACCUCUGAUAAAUCCGUAGCUCAUAUUCUCUUCUUUUUAAAUUGUUCAUAUUGUCGCUAUUGCUGUUGUUGUGAAUUGCGAUCAAGUGUUUUGGGUAGAAAUUUAGAAAAUAAGUCCAUGUUUGACAAUCUUUAAAAAUUUAAAUUGUUUGCUACAAUAUCAUCUUUCACAAUACAUUCACAUAAUAAAAUAUUCUACACACAAAUAAAUAAAAUUUUUCACUUUUUAACCACAAAAUUCUUCAAAAAUACUGUACUAAACUCUUUAAUUUUUCAAAUAAAGGGAGUCAAACAUGGCCUAAGAAAUGAGGAGUGUCAUUUUAAAUGGAGAUAUUUUGAAUUAUGAAAAGCUGACUCAAAAAUAAGAUUUAUUGUAUGAAAAUUUUUUAAUAGAAUGUUAAAUAUUCAUUCUUUAUCAAUACUUUGAUCAUGCUUGGGAAACAUCUUUUAUACUCUCCGUCCCAUUUAUAUAAGUUGAUAUUAUUUUUCACAUGGAUUAAGAAAUUUUAUUUAAUGUUAUUGAAAAAGUAAUUUUUAUUAAAAAAUUUCCUAAUCUACCCUUAAUUAUAUUUUUACAAUUUCAAGAUUAAAUGGAAAAAAAAAGUGAUCAUAAUUAGGCAUAAUAAAUAAAGAUAUAUUAGUAAAUAAAUAAAAUAAAAUGUUGUCAAUAAAGAAACGAGAAUAUAUAAUUGGAAUUAAAAAAAAAAGGAAAAUCAGCCCAUAUAAAUGGGACGGGAUUAUAUUCUUACUUAACAAAUCCAAUGUUAAAUAAAAAUAAGCAAAAAAGUAAAAGAAAAGGAAAUGGGUCAUCAAAUAUCGAGACAUUCUUAGCCAAUUCAAAAAAGGGUAAUAAUGAUGCAAUUUUGAGAAUUACGAAGGUUGGAUUUCGAAUGAAUAGCAUUAAUAUAAAAACUAACACACAUUAAGACCAGUUGAGCACUAUAAAAUAGUUCAAGAGGUCAGCAUUAACUAAAUUUGUUCUAAUACGUUGAGUCGGGCUUAGUUAAUUUAUGCACAAUAAUUUAUAAUUUAAGGGUCCGUUUGACAUAAUUUUUGCUUUUAUUUAUUUUUUUUUUUUGUAGAAGAGCUUUUGAGGAGAGAGAAAAAAAAACCCAAUUUUUUGUCUGAAAACUAAUUUUCUAAAGAAUUUCCAAUUUCAAAAGUGCUUUUAGAGAUAAUCAAAAUUGGACUAGCUUCCUCUAAAUGCUUUUUUAACUAGAAGAAACACUUUUAUAAAAUUAGUCAAAUAAGUCCAAAAAUAAUUUUUGAAUCUUAAAAUCUCCUUUUGAAUUUUCAAAACUCAUUCCAAAUGGACCCUAACAGGAUGUGAUAGAGAUUCUCCAAAUUUAGGGAGUCGCAAAACUUAAAAGCUUUAUAAAAUUUUACCUAGGGUUGCGUAUGGGAUGGGUUGAAUUGGCUUUUUAUCAAAUUCAAACACAAACACAAACCUAAUCCAACAUGGUCGAUUUGAUCUAAAAUCAAACAAAUUCAACACAAUUAUUAGUUUAAACCCAACAAAACCCAAACCGAUUAAGGUUGAAUUGGGUUGGUCGAUAUGGGUUUGGGCCAAUUUCAAGUUGGAUUUGAUUGUUUUUUAUUGAAUUUGAACAAUUUUUUAAGUUUGAAAUCACUUGAAAAUCUCCAUUAUUUUUAAUCUAUAUAAGAAAUUAAAAUUAAUUUAUAAAUAUGUUUGAAAUCGUGGAGCAUUUUUUUUUUAAUUUAUUCAUUUCAUUAUCACGUCCUUAAUUUUUAGUUUAUCGUUAAAUUAUUUUGCAUUUAUAUAUAGUAUUCAUACCAAUUAGUCUAUAUAAAAAAGAGAGACGUUUAUACAUUCUAAAUUAUUCUAUUAUCUCCACUAUUGUGUCUAUUUAAUUUUUUUUUUUUUUCAUUCUAGGUACUAAAUUUUUUAAUUCAACGGAUUGGGUUGGAUUGGAUUUUAAUCCAUAACCCGAAACUCAACCCAACCUCAAAUUUAAUUUUUCAAUCUAACUCAAUCUAAUCCAACCCAAUUAAACUUCAAAAAAUCCAAGGUUUGGGUUGAUUUUUGCCAAGCCUUAAUUUUACUUAGAUGUUUGAUGGGUAUUAAAAUUAGAUUUUUUGGUAGAGAAAUUUUUAAAUUUCUGGUUAAAAAGUUGUGAGAGUCAUGAAAGUUAUGAUUAAUAUUGAUUGUUUGACUUAAACUUAAAUUAAAAUCAGAUUUUAAUCAUAAUCAAACAUGGGCCUAAUCAUGGAGAGCACAUGGUGCAACUCAUUUGAUUUGGAGAAUGUUUGCUUUAUAAACAUGUAUGUAAUGUUCUAAUGUUGGGUUACAAAGUUUGGUAUUCGAACUAUAGAUGUAUAACUCCAUGAUGAUUGUUUGGGACUAUAGAUUAUUAAAUACUGGCGCCCCCGAGGCAUAGCUCAGUGGUGCAAAGGACAGGAGUGAAGUUAUCUCACGCCUUACUGACAGCCGCAGUGUAAAGGUUCGAUUCUUGAAACAUGAAAUAGAACUCCUUGUAGGCGCAGUGUACAGGCAACUCUUGUUCCCUGACCUAUUGAGGCACAUCUCGCGAUUUACCUCCCUCAUAAAGCUCUAGAGACGGGACGAUAGGACCCUUAAGAUUGGAGUUCAACUUUUUCUUUUUUUAUUAUUAUUAAAUACUGGAUGGUUACGGGAAAAAAAACACUCGUAACCACAUUUGCAGCACCUGACAUCAUCAUUCGAACAUGUGAAGAUUCCAAUAAUUUCCACCCAGAUGGAGACAUGCUAAUAAAUCAAGAUUCCAUGUGGGCCUAAGCGCCUGAACCAGCACAUCUUUGUAGGAUUUUACUGUAGGAUUUAGAAACAAGAGGACACAGACACUUUAUUUUUUCACUGUUCUUGUCCAAAUUGUCCUAACAUGUUUAGUCAGUUUGGACGUGACUUCUUUUUCUUUUCCUUCUUUAAUAUUGACUAUCGUAAAAAAUAAUAAAAUAAAAUAAAAUAAACUUAGUCACCAUCAUACCCGAAUCCAAUAAGCCUCUUAAUCAUCUGGUGCAGUAUUUAAAUCAUUUGAGAGAAGUUUGCUGCAGAAUUCUUAGUUCUCGACUAGCAUAGUAUCCAAAUUUGAACUAGAUUUGAUUCAAGACAGUAUUAUUCGAACACAUCUAGAAACCCAACGCCAAAAAUUUAAAGGUGCAUUGAUCAACGAUGUUUGAUCCUUCCAGCAUAGUCGGUCCUGGGCCAAAGCAUUUGAAGCCUACGCCUCAUGUCCAAAACCAAAGGGGGCCUAAUUUUGCCCCCCCCCACCCCCCCACCCCCCCUACCCUACCCUUUUAAUUUUGUAUUGUUUCCGUAAAUUUGUAAUGCUCAAAUUUUUGCGUAAAUAAUCGAAAAUGUUAUUGGAUGUGCAAAAUGGAAAAUGGGAAUUUGUUCAACUUAUCUUGAUCCAAGAAUGUGAGUCCUACUUAAACCUGCAUCACCUCUGGUAUCUAUUUACUAUUUAGUGUCCUUGACUGGCAUAAGGCAAUAGGACAUUGUGUAAUGAUGAAAUUUUUAUUUCAGGCUUAUGAAUUGUGAUGGUUGAAUUCUCAAGGUGCGAUUCCAUAAUUAUCAUCGAAAAUUUACUUCUCAAUUCGACAACGACUUGCUCUAACUUGUUAUUGAAUAUGUUGAUAAUGUUUGAAACCUUGUCGGCUUAUAUAAUUGGUUAUUUUAUGAUCAACAAUUGUAUGAGCGUACGUAGUAACUAUAUUGAAAACUCUAAUUGUGAGAUGAUUGAGAUAUUUUGUAAUUAUCUUUUAGGUUAAUUAUUGAGCAUUAGAUUGCAUAAUAUACCAUUGAAAUAAUAUAUUUUUUUGUUGUUUUAAUGAUAAGUUUUAAGUUUUGCAUUUAUGUUGAUUCCGUCGGGGGCCCAAUUUAUGGACUUCACCUCGGGGCCCGACGAUCACAGGACCGGCCUUGCCUUCCAGUCGAGCGCUUUGACUAAGGAAAUGGACUACAAAAUAAAUGACAUGAUAGUCGAUAUUUGCCGAGAAAUCAAGCAGUUUAACAAAUGACAAUCUCAACAGACAGAAAUACUUGAAACAAACCCCAGAUUAGCAUCAAUCUCUUAAUGUUCAGACGAGCAUUAAGUACUCCCCAAAUUAAUGCAGCUAGUACAACUACACCACAAACAAACAUCAUAGAAAGGGGAAAAACAAAGGAAGACGCCUACUAAAUAACAUAAACCUUAAAAAAAACCGACAGUUAAAGACAAUCUAAGAAACCUACACCAGUUGCACAUCUAAAGCAACUAACCUUCCAAGCCAUUUGGUGCAGUCUGAGGCUUCACCUUCCUCGGCCUUCCCCUUGGCCUUCCCGUCUUUGAAACAGCCUGAGGACCGGCAGCUGGCUUUGGCUUCUUCGGUUCAGGUAACGAAUUUGGGUCCUUCCUUGGACGUCCUCGGCCACGCUUCGGUGGGGCUUCGGCUCCCGGUCUCAGGUAGUUGUUCUUGAUGAAUAAUAGCUCCCCACUGUCCUUCAUUGUAGUCAAAUGAGCUGAUAACAAGUUUACAUGCGCAGCAGGCAAGUCCUUAUACUUGGAUUCUAAGUAUUCCGAUAUUGAUGUCUUGUUUGCUCCCUCCUUUUGUUUCAAUGAAUCCAAAGCUUCCAUAAUCAUCUGCAAAAAUGCGAAAACAGUGAUGUAUAAUUUUUAAUCUCUGAGAAAAAAUUUUCCUUCGGAAAUGUCUGAACAAUGCUGUCAUACAUUGGCGAAAAUUGCUAGUGCUCGAAAAAUCAAAGCUGAAAAUUUAACAACUAGUGCAAGUUUUGUGAAGCUUAAGAAAUUUACUUAUGAGUAACUCAAGGCCCAUUUGAAAGGACUUUUGAAAAGCCAAAAACUACUUUAGACUACAAAGAUGCUUUUGACUAAAGCUUAAGAAGCUCUUCUUCAAGUAGCUGAACUCCCACCAAACUGACCCGAAAUAAUUUUUGUGUUGGUCAAACUUGGAAAUAAGUAAUAGCAUUACCAUACCUUCAACACAAUCACUUAUUUUACUGGUAAUAAAAGAGUACCUUGUUAAACAUUUUUGUAAACAAAGAUUAACUUUUAGGCUUAUAGCUAAACACUGCUGUCAUAUAAAGGUGAAAAUUUUAGCGUUUGAAAAAUAAAAGCUGAAAUCUUAACAGCGAGAAGAUCUAUAAUUUUUACAAAAUAAUAAUUGGUAAAAGAGAAUUAAUUUCUAUGAUUUGUUCCAAAAACAAGUUUGAACACCCAUAAAAAAAAUGCCGAAAUUCAAAUUAAUCACUUGAAACAAAGUGGGUAUACAUAAAACAUACAAGUAAAACAGCUAAUUUUUCAUUAACCUCAAAACUGAAAAACGAGGGUUUUAGAGAGAGUGAAAAAAGGCUUCUCUGCAAACUCAAAACCUCAAUUUCGUCCAUAAAAAAGGGGAAGAAACAGCUCAAAAUUUUAAUAAAAUUAAAACAAUAGUCUGGGUACAGGUUCUAAAAUUACAUGCAAAAUGGAAAUUAAGUCCUAGGAUGCAAUAAAACCUUUCAAUUUUACCAUUUUACCUGUCGGUAUGGAGGGAUUGCUGGACGUUUGCUGACCUCUUCAGUCGCCAUUGAAACUUUUCUCUGAGAGUACUGGUGGCCGUGGACGGUCUUGCUUGAGGUUCAAAGAGCACAGUGGAAAACUUAUUGAUAAAUUAUUACGAGGGUUUCGAGUUGUGAAGUUAAAACAUAAGUAAAUAAAAACGAAUUGCAUUGCAAGUCCCCCAACAUAUGAAUAUUUUGUAGUAAGUGGAUUUUUGAACUUUUCUUUACAAAUUGAUCUCAACCUUUUACUUUACAAUAUUUGAAAAUUCGGUAAAUGAGUUUUCAUCUAUCUUGCCUUCGGAAAGUUUAGAAUUAUUUGUAUUAUUAUCAAUUAAAAGAAAUAAUUUUCCUCCUCAACUUGAUCACAAACUUCAACACGCGUGAAUCAAGAAUGAAUAGUAGGAAUGUAGGGUGAUUAUUUUGGGAUAAAUGAAUAACAUGGUCGGAUGUUUGAAAAAUUAACGGAAGGCAAAUGAGUCGAUGGAUGAUUUAGACAAAGGAAAUGAAGGUGGUGGAAUACAAAAAAAGUUAAUAACGUAACGGGCAGGUAAAAAAAUAAUCAUCUUGAAGAUGGACAAGUAAUGUGUUGGGACUUCGAGUUUGGGGAGGGAGGGCUUUGGAAAGCGAGUUAGGACUUGGGCUCAGGUAGGGAGGAUAGUUGAUGAAAGUUGUCUUCUUUUUUUCUUUUUUUUUUCCCUAAUAGUCAUCGUUCUUAUCUUUUUAUUUUGUAUUUAUUUUUCUUCGAAAUUAAUUUGCUUAUCUAUUUUACGCGCCCAUUUGGUCCUCAUUUUUUGGAUAUGAAAAUGGAUGGAAUAGUAUAUUUUUCAAAAAUGAGUGGUUGAAAAAAAAAGAAAAUUUUUCUAUUUACAUGUAAUAUUAUUUUACGAAAAAUUAUUUGGUUAAAAAUAGAAACGAGAAAAAUGAAAUGAAAUUUAAUGAGAUUCAAACGAGGCUGUCUCAAAAAGUGUAAAACGCGUGAGGGUCACGUGACUCUUAAAAAGAAAUAUUGAUGAAACCAUCACAGGUCUAGAUGUUACAACUUUAUUAGGUUAGGAUCAAUCUGUUAAAAUUAUUGGAGCCCAACUUGCUAUAACACAUAUAGAUUCGGGACUUCUGCUACAAUUUUACCAUUAAACAAAGGUAUCUUUUUAGAAGGCAAUGGACGGUAAAGAUUGGGGAAAGGUUCGUGAUCGUACGGAGAGAAGUCGGUCAAAACAGGGUCACAAGAAUCGAUGAUGCGGACAGGGACUCAACGGGAAUUGAAUGCUUUGCGCACAUUUUUCGAUUAAUUUUCUAGGAUGUAUUUGGCAGUUAAAACAAAUUGGAGACAUCCCCAAAAUUAGUUUCAAUCAAUGCUAUAAUUAAUUAUGUUUAUUAUAAUUCCAUAAAUAGUUGUACAUAAGAGCCCCAUUUUUUUUUUUUAUGAAAAUGUAUUUUUUAACAGUGUUUUAAUCGUAUUUCAAUCACACAUUUUUCAAUAAAAUAAUAUUAUACAAAAAUUCAAAUUUUUUUCUUAUUUUCUAACUACACAUUCUCCAUCAUAACACUAUUGAAAAAUGCAUUUUUUGAAAAAUACAAAAAUGUGACUUAAACAACUCCUAAAUGGGUUAUAGGUCAAAAAUAUCUUAUUAUUCAUUAUCAUGAGCUUAUUUAAGAGAGAUUAAAUUACAAAUUCUAUAAGUCACGAUUUAUUUCACGGUCAUAAAUUAUCAAAUUAAUUGAUUACAGUUAUGAUCACAAAUUAUUAAAUUAAUGGAUUACAACUUAACAAAAUGUGAGUCGGGAUUACAAAUUUAAUCGAAAUUUCACAUUUUUUAGGUCAUUAUUUAUUGGUUACAAAUUAUAUAUUUUAUCAAUCACAUGUUAUUUAUUGGUCACAAACUGACUAAUUUAUUAACUACAAUCAAUCAAAUAAUUGGUCACACAACCUACCACCAUCAACAUUGCUGUUGCCACCUCAUCGCCAUAGCUAGCACCACCACCAACUACAAACACCACCCAAAAUCACAACACAACCACCGCAAAAUCGAGAUUCAAAUUAAGAGGGCUUCGAUCUUUAAAAACUAAAAUUGUCCAAUAACAACCUCACAUUCCAAAUAUAUAAGUUUUCAGACAAGUGGCUGUUGAUGAUGGCUGCUAUUGCGUUGCAUCAAGAUCUUGGGAGUAGAGGCAUUAAAGAUAUGACUGUUGAUGCGGCCACUACCUCGUCUUAGUCUAGAACACAAAGUUGGGCUUGGAGAUUGAAGUGGCAUUGAACUUCAAGAAAACGAUCGAAGAUCUACUUUUCCUUUGUUUACAAACCGAUUUGGGCCCUGACAUUAACACACAUUGAUUGAGAAUUUGCUUCUACGUGAAGAUUAACACGCAAAUUAUCACACACUAGUCGGAGAAGAUUUGUUUCUCCGUCAUAUCGAAGAUUAGCCUCUCAAUCACUUAAGUCAAUGCGCGUAGCGGCAUCGAGCGGCACUCACAGUGGCUUGUUGCUCUCAAAGUGAUGCCAUCGCGUCAACAACAUAGUAAGCAGCUAAGUGUCGCUCCGACGGUUCCUUUAAUGAUAGUGUGUAGUAAAUGGAAGAAGAGAGAUAUAGAGAGAGAAGGGAGAGGACAAAAUAAGUAUUUGGGAAUGAAAUUUGGUGGGAUGUAUGAAGGUAGGAUGGGUAUAGAUUAAUUUAAUUUUUAUAAUAUCAUUAUUAAUGUUAAAAUGUGGAAUUAUCACCUGAUUUUUGUAUAAACAAAUCUCAAACAUGAUUUCAAACUUAUAAAGCCCGCCUUCAUGUAAUUUCUACAUAAAUAAAGCCCAUGCACAAAAUUUAGAAAUAGACUGCCCUCCAUAUAUAGGAACAAUAAAGCUACUUGUACAAAGUUGGGUUACAAAGUGUGUUAGCAAAAUUCAUAGCAUCGAUUUGAAAUUAUUUAAAAAUCUAUGUUUGAAAUGAUUGGUGUGGAUGUUAUUUUGUUAACCAACUUUGUAACCCAUCUUUGUAAGUGUAGCAUAGUUCAUAUAGGAAUGGUCUGAUACAAAUUUUUUAAGGACGGCUCACUAAACUUCAAAAUGAGCCCCGGCUUCACCCCACAGAGGCCCUAGCCUUAAAUAUUUACUCAUGUUUGACUCCUAUGUUUAAAAUUUAUUUUAAUCAUAUAUUAUCUUAUUAAAAUAGUUUUUUUUUUAAUGUAGAUUUAUAAUUUCUUUCUAACUUCUAAAUAUAUAUUCUUCAAAAAAUCACCGUUCACAAAAUUAUGCUAAAAUAUCUUUGCUAAAUGGGGGUUCAUUUCAUUUUGCUUAUGAAAUUUAACUCAAGAGUAAAAAUAGAAAUCUACUUGAAUAUCGGAUUAAAAUUAAUCAUUGUCCAUGACAAAUGAUAGUUAACUCUAAUAUAUACUAUUUUUAGAUACUAGUAGAUCAUCUCUAUUUAACUUGACAAUCUUCCGUUAAUUAGCAUAGAAUUUUGGAUGAGGAUUAAAAAAAAAUCUUAAUUAAAAAUAAUAAAUCACACCAAUAUACAUUAAAGCCCUAUUUGGUGAUGAUUAAAAUUAAUAUUUUAAUAAAUUUUAAUAAAAAUUGAUGAAAUGUAUGGCUGAAAUUACAUAAUACUUUACAUACCAUUUUAUCAUUCUUCGAAAAUUUAAUUUUUAUUAAUCUUUCGUCCAAGAAAUUCCUUCCCCCCCCACCCCCCACCCCUCUUACAUCUAUAUUAAUUUUAUAUACAUUCAAGUAUCUUGACUACAUUAUUUUUUUAAGCAUUGACAACACUAUCAACAUUACAAUUUUUAAUUCCAUUUUUACACAAAAUUGUAUAAUUUUAUUUAUUUCCCCUCUUUAAAGUUUUCUCAUAAAAAAGAAUAUCAAAAACAGAAAAAAAAAUAUGAAUACUAUAAAAUUUGUUAAAUUGCACAACGCUACGAAGCUAUAACCUCAACUUAAAAUUAAAUUGAAAUUCAUGCAAACUAUAAAUCAUAUAAUUUAUUUUUUAUUUUUAUUUUUUUUCAAUUAUCAUUGAAUAUAACUUAUUUAUUGGACGAUGACAACUAAUAAUCUUCAUUUGUCCGUUUGAUAACGUUGUAAGAAAUCAAAUGAAGUUUUUGCUAUAUGUUCCAACACUAUUAAUUUAAUAAAAUUUAUUUUGUGUUUAUUAAAGAUGUAUUUAAAGAAUAUGAAGAUCAUAAUUUUUUUGUAAAGCAUGUAAUUUAAUACUGAUUUAUUAUUAUUAAUUAAGGGUGUUUCUUUCUGUUUAGCAAUUUACAAUCUCAUGAUUUUAGAUAUUUCUAUUUUCAUUGCAAAAUACGUUUUUUGUAACCAAUAACAAAAAUAUAGUCUGCGUUAUAUCGUAUGGAAAUUGAUAUACCCAAAAUGCAGUUAAUUUUGUAAAUUUCCCUUCUUUUAUUUAAUAUAUGUUGUAAAUGAUAAGUUUAUUAUUGAAUGACAAUUGUAACACAAUAGCUUAGUUAUCAUUAUUAUUAUUUUUAUAUAAUUCAAGGUCUUCUUUUGAAAAUAAGGGGUCCAAUUGCCACUCGUUCUCACCUAUCUUCCAAUUCUCGCUCUUGCCGUCAUUAUCCACUUGCGUCUAUUACCACCAACUGCUGCCUCCACCCGCCGUUAGAGUUGAUCUGAUUUUAUCCUUUUCCAUCUAUCGUCGAAACCAGACCAAAGCAACACCAAGCGUCGACAAAUUGAAUGGCCCAAAAACACCUACACAAUGUCCUCCUAGAAAAAAAAGAGGGAAAAGUUUUCAUUUCAGGUAAUUCUUCUUCCUCAUCACAAUAUAUAUACGUGUAAGUGGAUAUACAGACAUAUAUACAUACACGUAUGUGUAAUAAAUGCUCGUGUUGUGAUUUGGAUUCUGAAAUAGUAGAUCUUGAUGUGGGAUGAAGUUUCUGUAUUUGUUAAUGGCUUUACCUAUUAGAAUUUAUGCAAAAUGUCCAUCAAUUUUAGAUCUUGAUGUGGGAUGAAGUUUCCGUGUUUGUUAAUGGGUUUACCUAUUAGAAUUUAUGCAAAAUGUCCAUCAAUUUUAGAUGAAAAUGUGAAAAAUGUAUUGGGGUGAUUGAUUGUACACAUUUUGAGUUGUUUGACCGAAAACGAAUGGAUUCUAAUAAAAGUCAUCUGUCACUGUACAUUUUUAUGCAAUUAAUUAUGAUUUUUGUUUGCCAUCAAAUUUUCGUUUCGAUCAAAUUCUGAUUAGAGCAAUGCUACAAGUACAGUAAUUUUAAUAUCAUGAUUAACAGCAUUACCACAUACAAGAGGUGGGGCCCACCAUUCAAAUAAUCAUGAGCCCCACAAUUGUGCCGUACAAGUACAGCACUGUACACACAACAUUUUUCUUUUGAUUAUUGUGAUAUGAAAUAUUCAUCUUUAUAGUAAUUAUGCGUAAUUAUUGUAAUUAAAUAUGAAUUAUUCACUAAUCUUAAUUAGCUAAUUGUUUCCCGAUAAUAUUUAAUGCAAUUAUGACUUUGAUUCUACUAUGCAUGCCUUUAUAUGGAUUAAUAUUAUUUGGUUUAAUUAAAUUUUGAUAUAUUUCUUAUAAUUUGUACUCGUUAAUUCUUUUUACUCUUGAACAUAAUUUUAAAUUCGAGUUAUUGAAUAUAAUAAUAUAGAUCCGAUUUACAAUUUAUAAGAGCUAUAAAUAUUCUCAAAGAAUAUUUUUUGUUGCUCUUGAAGUGACACAACACUAUAACUAAUAUUUCAGAGAAAUAUUAUUUGCUCCUUAAAAGUAUGAAUUACUACCUUCAAUAUUUCAAAAAAAUAUUAAUUUAUUACUUUUGAAGAAGCGAUAAUAAAAUAUUUCGCGCUCUUGAAGUGGCACAAGUCUCAAAAAAUUAUAUCUUGAUAUGCUCCUAAAAAAAAAUACAAAUUAAACAAUUCAACACUGGUUGUAAUUCUUGAAGGAAAAUAAUUUAUUUUAGUUUAUUAAUAUUCAAGAAGAAUAUUAAUUUAUCACUCCUGAAAAGCAUACAACUCGAUGUUUCAAUAUUCUCCAAGAACAUCGCAUUAGUGCUUUUGAAAAACAAUAAAUCUUGAAAUACUAAUAAGAUUUGAGAAGUAUUUUAAAGAUAUCUGUUUAGCAGAUAGUAUUAUUAUACACACAAUUUUUAAAGAUGAAAGUACUUCUUUAAAAUUUAACAUUAGUGGAAAAUAAUAUUAAUAAGAUAUUGAGCUCAUUGAAUAUUGUUGAAAACUCCGAAAGAGUUAGUAUUAUUUUAUCAAAUAAUACAAAAUUAUAUAUUGGCAAUACAUUUUAUUCUUGCAAAUUCAAAACAAUUUGCUUAAUUCGAAAGAUAUCCAUUAAAAUGGAUAUUACAUUUAGAAGAUGCAAAAAAAUAAUAUAAAAUAUCUUUGUAUAAUUUUCUUUUUGUAUCUAGCUAGAAGUAGAUAAAAGAAAACUCCCUACACUCAAUUUGGCAUGCACUAUACAUUCAAAUGAUAGAAAUCACAAAUUAUCACGAACCCGAAGUUCGUUGGUCCUAUGUUGACUCAUAUCGAAAUCAACAGUGCAAAAAUUCGUAGAAUUUAGACAGGCAGCAUAACUGUGAUGAAAAUAUUGACAUCUCAUUGUUUCGUGGUCCGAUCGUCCUAAAAUUUGGACAGAAAGUUCACAACUCAUCCUUCUUCAAAUUUUAAUUGUUCCUACCAAAAUUCAAUAGUUCAUUUGUGAGAAAUAGCUAAGUGAAUAGUAACAAAUUUUUAAAUACUAUAAAUUUUUUGAUGUGAGAUUUGUUAACUAUUCAAGAUUUUCUAAAGUUUUCAAAUUUUAGUAUCUUUUUUCAAAAAUUUUCUGUCCAUGUUAUAUGUUUUUAGUUUUUAGAGUAGAUAAAUAUUUUUUAUUUAAUUUUUACUCCUGAAGAAAUACAAUUAUAUGUUAUAUUUGUACUAAAUGAAUACGGUAUUGAUGGUCUAGAAGAAACACAACUAACCUUAUAUAAAUGUUUCAAAAAGAAUUGUCUACUUAUGAAGAGUAUAUUAGUACAAUUUCAAUAUUUUAGAAUAAUAUUGAUAUGCUAUUCCAAAAAAAUAAAAAUAAUAUACAUUAGUAUUCAUAAAAAAUAUCGUAUUGUGUUCUUCGAGAAGCACAAGUUAUACAUAGUACUAUUUUAAAAGAAUAUUAUGAUUAAUUUAAAUAUAUCAACAUUUCUAAAAAAUAUUGAUAAAUUACUUGUGAGGAAUCAUAAUCAAGUAUAUAGUAAUUAUAUGACGAAUUUCAUGUAUUAAAAUACAGAAAUCAUUAAAAGUUAUGUUUUUGAGAAAUACAAGUGAUCUUGACCUUGUUGUAAUUGCAACAUUGUGAAAAUCAUCUGAUUAAUGAUCUGAAUGUUUGAAAACGAGGGGCCACGUGGCUUAAAUACUGGUCUUGGAGAACUUGUUGAAAAUUUAAUUUGUUAAGACUUGACUCGUUCUGUACUUGAAUUUCGGGACUUGAACUUAAACUUGAACUUGAAUUCGAUUUGAUAUGAAGAAAACUUUAAUCUUCUUGGACUUGAUGCGAAUAUGUUUGAUUCGAAGAAGAUUUUGAUCCUGUUGGGGUUCAUCGAGUUUAAGUUUGAGAGAAUUUCUUCAGUAUUUCAUGGUUGCCUUCUUUGCUUUCUCUUCUUCUUGCUUGCUUUUUUUUUUUUUUUUUUUUUUUUGUUGCCUUUUUUUUUUUUUUUUUUUUUUUUUUUUUUUUUUUUUUUUUUUUUUUUAUCCGUGUCUUAUGGACGAUUGGUCCUAACUAUAGAAGAAAAUUUGUGCUAAUUUUGAUAAUCACUCAGUUAUAUUUAACUACAAAUUAAUAAUUGAGUAAUCCUAUUGCAUGCAGCCGCGCAUCUGAGUUGACAUAUAAGUCACCCUUACUGUCACUCUACAGAACUACACAUGAGAUUUUCAUCUUAUACAGCUCCUCGUUCAAUUCUUUCAAAUUCAUUGGAACCCUGGGGUCCAUUCGAUAUUUUCCUUGGGGGACAAAAAAUAAAUCCACUUGAUUUCAGAGUUGGAAAGAUAGAAUAUCACCGCGUGAACAUAACAUUAAGUUACAAAUGUAACUCCCGUUUUGAGCCAACGGUGACCGGUUUUCAAAAAGCACCUUUGGGUGAUGGUUUUUCUAUCCUCUCUCUCACUUGAAGAUAUGAUUAUUUAUUAUUUGUUUAUUCAUUUAUUUAUUUAAAGAGUGAGAUGGGCCUUCGAGUUUAUGAACUUUAGUAAACUUUAAUUUAAUUGAGCUAAUGAUUUAAAUCGGCCAAAUCCAUUUUCUUUAAUUUUAAUUUUCUUUUACGUCUAUAGUAAUAUUUCAAAAGAAUAUUGUUUUGAUAUUAUAGAAAAGUCAAUAUUGUGUCAUAUAGGAGAAUAAAUUUUUUACUAUUCAUAGUAAUUUUUCUUUACUAAAUUAAAGAAAAACAUGCUAAGUUUCUAAAAUGUGUGGUACAAUUAAAAUAAAUACUAUAUUGAACCAGAAAUUAAAUUUGAUUUUAUUAUUUGGUAUGACUAGUUAGACCAUCACUAAAUCAAUAAUAAUAUGAAUUUAAAAAUUCAAAUGGAUAUUCAACAAAGAACCAAAAGAUUCUUCAAUCCAAAAAAUUCCUAUAUAUUAUUUGUUCUCUUUAUUGGACUGAAUUACUUAUAUUUCUAAAAUUAAUUAGAGCGAUAAAUAGUGCCCAUCAUCAUAUUGAACAUCUAGAUAUAAUUUGUAUCUAAUGAAUUUGAUACAUAUAAUAGAUGAUUUUUAUGAUGUUUGCAAUAUGAAAUUUACGAAGUUAUUGCUCAAAGUUUAAAUUGCGAGCAUAAUUUUUGGAUUAUACAGUCAAGACGAUUUGUCUUGUUAAUGCAAGUGACCCUAAAUCUCCAUCUUUUAAUAAAUGUCAGAUGGAAUGUCGAUAAAUGGCUUAACAUUAUUGCUUGUUAAAUGCUUCAUAUUAAUUUAAUUGAAAACAAAAUACUUUUUAUUUCUGUUUAGGGGAUGCUAUUACGCACCAUGUCAAUAUCAUAAUUCUCCCUAUUAUAUUUGGCUUAUAGUUAGAGCCUUACAUCUAAUUAUUUUGAUAGUGCAGUACACGUAAAAUUGAUCCAACUCAAUACAUUGAGAUGAAAAGUAAAGAAUGCUGAGAAUAAAUUUGUAACUUGAACCCUUAUCCCAAAUAGGUGAUAUUUUAUAACGAAGUAAAAAUGAUUAUUAAUUUGAUUAGACAAUUUUCUCAACAUUAAGAGGAGGAAUUAAGAAGUUGAAAAUAAUGUACAAAUGCAUCAUUAUUCUCGUAAAAGAUAAUUCAAACCAGAUGUUCGAAAGAUAAUUUAUUUAGUGCAUUUAUUGACCAAAGAAACCAAUAAUAUCUCACGCAUUAGCUUUAAAUGAUUUAACACGAAUUGAUGUAAUAUGAGGACAAUUUGUUAGCAUUAUAUUUGAUAUAUUUAUGACACAUUGAAGUGUGAUGGUAAUAGGAAUGGCAAUCAGGCUCGUCCGCUUGGAAAAACCAAGCCAAGGCUAGGGUCGAGCCCCAUUUGGGGGUGUCGGACAUAGCUUGAGUCGGCUCAUGUAACUCGUUGGCUCGAGCUUACUAGCCUAUAUUUAAAAAAUAAUAAUAACAGUAAUAAUUUAAAUGUAGCAACACGCUGCCUUUUAAAAGGCAGCCUAGUGCUGCUCUUUUUUUUUUGUUUUUUAACUUAAACAAAAAAUUCAAAACCAAAACCAAAAUCGAGCUUGCUCGGCUCGGCCCGAAAAGGCCUAAGCCAAAAGCUCGAGUUGAGCCUAAUUUUUUUGCUCUGCUCAGGCCCGAAAAAAGCUCAUUAAUUUUACCUGAGCCUCAAGUUUCGACUCAUUGACAUCCCUAGAUGGUUUUCAAUUAUAAUAUAAAAAUCUCCAAACAAAAAUGGAAUAAUUAGUAAAGAUAGUCCCAUUAAGGAAUCAUAUAUUAUUAAUAAGUAUUUAGUCAUAACAAAUUAUAAAACCUCGGGAUAUGUUCAAGUAUCUGAUAUGUUGAAAAUUGAGAUAUAUCUUCAAGUUAUGACGUUAUACAAAAGAAAUAGUUAUGAUAAAAGUAUUUGACAACAUUUUGUACAAGAUGUACAACAUUAUAUAGCAAAGAAUUGAAAUAAAUGAGUCGAAAUAUAUCAAUUGAAGUAAUGAUUGGAUAAAAUAAAAAGAGACGCAAUCCAAAAUUGAAUUUACUAAAGAAACUUAAAGUUUUUGGACUUGCAGUCUGAAAAUCUAAAAGUGUAUACUUAUGUGAAAUGAAAAUAGAAAAAGUAAAGUCGUAAUAUGAAAUGUACAACUUUUUAUGUAAUGAAUUUUGUGAUCACUCGUGAAAGUAGAUAAAUUAUUAUGUGUGGAUGUAAUCACAAAUAUUUUUUAUCAGUUUAAGAACAUCUCUGAGAGAUUCUUUAAAUAUGAGAUAUUCUCUUUUUUAAAAGUUAACAUUUAAAAUCAUGCUCUAAGAUACUUCUUAAAUUAUCGUUUUAAUUUAGAGAGUGGAUUUGACUCUUUAAGUUAAAAUAAGAGAUAGAGAAAAAUAAUAAAUACUUUUGGGAAUAAUUAAGUGUUAAACAUAAAUAUUAUGUUGGAGUACUUUAAAAUUUUAACUCAAUAAAUUUAUGGAUGCUCUUUAAAUGAUAGAACAUGCUUUUUAAAAAUAGAGAGUUUCUUGAAAAUACUCUAUAAAUGUGGGGAAUUGGAUAUACAUAUAAUAAAUUUGGUUAUAGCCUACUCAUCUGACAUGGCUAUUAACGUUACCUUGAAAUGUUUAAUAUGCUUGAAACAUAUAAUUCAAGUGAUAAUAUCAUGAUGGAGAGUAAAUACGUGUUAUAAUAUUUUUUCUUUGAUCAAGAUUUUAUUACUCUUCUAUGUAUGAGACUACUGAAGAGAUCAACGAGAGUUGUUUUCGAAUCAUCAUAUUAUUACAGUCAUUAACAGUUGAUAAAUUUUUCGUAUGAAGACGGUGCUAUUUAAAGAAAUUAACAUACAUGAUAUUAAUAUUGAAGACAUUGACAUACAAGACACAGAUCGCUUGAUACAGGAAUUGAAAUCAAUAUGAGUAGCCGUACUCUUUUUCCUUCAAUCACGUUUUGUUCCGCUAGAUUUUCUUGACAAAGUUUUAAUGAGACAACAUUUUGUUACUCCAAAUUAUUUGUACUCUUUUUUCAUUUGUUAGCAUUUUUGUCUCGUUGAAUUUUUUUCCUGACAAUGUUUCAACGAGACAUAUAUUUUGUAAUAUGUCAUUCAAGGAGAGCGUUGUAAAUGAUAACUACAUUUAUGAAUGUCAAUUAUACCCCAACGGUUCUAAAAAUUAUUAUCAUUGCAUCUCUAAUUCCUCCCUAUAAAUAUGAGGUUGUGGCUAUUAAUAAAACAUACAAAUCUAUUGCCAUCUCACCCUUGUUCUUUCUAGUUUAUAAUAAUAUAUUUAUUAUAUAAUUUUUGUCAUUACUUUCUAGCAGACUUUUUUUUCCCUCCUUCCGUGAGUGGGUUCUUUUGUUGUCUUUCAGGCAAUAAUCAUUGAUUGUGUACCAAGGUUUUUAUUUUCAUUUUCAAUAAUGAACUGUUGCUAUCAAUCCAACAUUUUUUGUACAUAAUGAUCAACAAAAAAAGUUGUUCGAAUUCCAUAUCUAAUUUCUUAAAAACAAGUAGUUUUAAGUUUUAUGACAUUUUUUACAAAAUCCCCAUUUAUCGUAGUUCAAUUGUUAUUCAAUGUCAUCAAAAAUUGGAGACACGAGUAAAGACCAGUUUAUUGGAAUGUUCAAUAAAGACAUUCGUCAUGUCAUCAAGUCAUAUAAAGCGUAACAAAAGCAUGGAGAGAGUAGAUGGUUGGUUUCAAUUUCAAUUUCCAAGUACAAGACAACCACAUUGCAAAUACAUUAUAAUUCACUUAUAUAUAAAGGCAAAUCAGAUAAGACUACCUCAAAUUAUAAGUUGCUCAUAUUUCUCAAUAUCCGUCUACAACUUCAUUUCGAGUAGGACAUCUCUCCUUACACUUUUUGGCAUUUCAAAUUGAACAAAAGGGCAUGUUCUUCUAUUGCCAUUUGAGUAAAAAUAUAGCGAUCAUAUAGAUUAUAAAUAAACGAAAUGUUUUUGUUUUUGUUUUUGUUUGUUUUUUUUUUAAUAUAAAUUAAUUUAUGGGCAUUUAGGUCCGCCUUCCUUAGUCUUCCAAUUAUUGUAACAAGGGCAUGUUUGUUUAUUGCCAUAAGUGCCUGGUGGCACACACAAGCACUUCGCACAGCACUUUUGACAGAAGAACAUGCAUGGCUUCUUAUGGGAUGUUGCUGAGCAACGGUACGUGCAUCUUGGAUUGCAAUCUGCGUCAAUAUUGGAACAAUAAUUUCAUCAUUUUUGAGUUCGACGGUACUCGAUAAUACCAAGAAAUUAAAUGAAAAGUUAAUUUAUCCAAUCAUAUGUAGCAUUUCUUAUACCUCGAGGAUGAAGUCUAUUGUAUCCCUGUCGAUGAUUCAAAAGAGAUCCAAGAAAAUAUGUUAGAUAUAGUGACAAACUAUAGUUCUAAAGAAAACGAAAGAGAAUAAAUGAAAUUGAAAGAAAAGAAAAGUAAAUUUGUUACCUCAACAACGUUGGAUAAUGUAAUCAAUACAAGUAGUGAUAUAACCAACAAAAUGCCUGUAUUGUACGGACGACCUGCCAUUUCUUGUUCUCUAAAAACUGACUUAACUCACUGAAUUACUGAGUAGAAUUUGGAGCCUUUUUAUUGCUAUAGAAUCAGAAUGGGAUCCAAAUUUAUAGGUGUUUCUUGGUGGACGUAUUUUGGGGUUGGGGUUGGGGUGGGGGUUGGGGUUGCGGUGGGGGUAAAGAGAUGCAUUGUUUGAGGGGUGGUAGAAUGUGUGGCGUAGGGAAGAUCCCCCCCCCCCCCCCCCCCCCCCCCCCCUUUUUCUUUUUUNNNNNNNNNNNNNNNNNNNNNNNUUUGGUCUAGUUUUUGCUAAUGAAAUCAAUUGUUACGUUAGAAUUGGUUUGGUUGGACUUUCAAGAAAUCGAUAUUGAACGUCCCAAUUUCGCUUCUAGACGAGAGUGGGGGUACAAUGAUGCAUUAUGUGAGGCACUUUUCUUUUGAUCUCGUCACACGAUUCUCAAUGGAACCGACUUGAUUCCCUUCUCAAGAAACAUGGACCAAAUCACUCAGUGCUCACCAAGUGGUGGGCGGGAUGGGGUGAAGAGAUGCAUUGUUUGAGGCGUGAACAUAGAAAAGAAUGCAAAUGAAAAGUCCAUAAAUAGAUGAUGAAAAUGGGAGCGUUAAUGGCGCCGUGUCUGUUGUUUUGAUUUUGUUUUGUUAUGAUUUUGUCAACCUUUAAGCUUGUUACUUUGUGUGCUUUAUUUCUUUGGCUUGUAAAGCAAUAGUGUAAUAUUUCAUUAAUAAUUGUUUUUUUUUUUUUUUGUCUCAAUGCUGUAAUGGAUUUUCAUUUAGAAUAUCACAAUCUUAAUGAUUAAUGCAAUCCAACACAAUCUUGAAAAGCAAUGCAUGUGGUCAAUCUAAAAUUUAUAUGAAACGCAGAUUCGUUUGUUGUUGUAUUAAUUAAAGAAAUACGAUACUCAUAAAUUUUGUCUGUUUUCUUUAAAAAUUAAUUUACUUGUACAAUUGUGAUUGAUAAUGAUGGAUGACAACAUCGAUGUUGUCAAAAUUUGGACCAUUCACUUAAAAAAUAGUUUUUGAAAUUGAUGAACGUGAUAUUGUCAAGUAUGAUUAACAAUCAAAAUUAUAAAAAGGGAUUGUACAGAUAGAGCGAUUGUUUCUUUAAUAUUUUUGACUCUAGUUCCCGAUAAAAUAAAUUGUUGUAGUUUGUUCAUGCAUUUUGUAUGACUUUUUCACACGUUUAAGUAGAAGUCAUCUACCAAUGAACAUGCCUUUUAUACAAUGUUGUCAAAAUCAAAUCAAAUCCAAAUGCUCGACUGAAAUUGAUUAGUUUAUUCCUAAUUGACUGUAUUUAAUUAAUAUUUUUUAAUUAUUGUGUCAACGUUUGACCCUUUUCUUUUCCCUCUAAUAGGUUAAAACAAGGAAAGUAAUUAAUCUACUUCAAUAAACUUGGAAUAAAAUGUUACUAAAAAAUAUGCCGAUUAAAAUCUAAUUAGUUUGACAUAAGUACAAGAUAUUUGAUUUAAGAUAUUACAAUAUUUGUAACAUCGAAACGAGUGAAAUAAGAAAAUUGGUUCAUUUAACUUUUUCAAUGGUAUAGAAUAUUGCAGUUUACAAUAGUACUUACUUCUAUAAUGCCCUGAAGCUACACAAAGAUUCCCAUUUAAAAUCAAAAUCAAAUAUACAGCCCCUAUUUAGUUUUGAUAAAAAAAAAAAAAAAGUUUUUAGUGAAUUUUUAUUUUAAAAAAAUGAAAAUAAUGUGUGUACAGCACUUACAGCCCUCUCACGAAUGUGUGGGCCGCGAUUAUUUUAAUUACAAGCUCCACUCCUUGUAUGUGAGAGGACUGCCAACCAUAUUGUCAAAGUUGUCAACCAUACAAAAAGUGUAGUUAAAAUUAAUUACUGAUUUUGACUUAAAUUUUAAUCUAAAUAUUUAGUUUUACAAAUACGAGCACAAUAUACUUUGUAUUUGAUACUCUAUUUGGAAUAUAUUUUUCAAAACUUAUUUUUAACCUUAUCUAACUUCUAAUAAAAAGGGGAAUGAAGUCUACUAUUCAUGCAAUAGUAAAUGAAUCUAAUUUUACUAUGCAUGAUAUCAUUUUUUAUUUUCCAUUUUAUUUAUGUUAAAUAAAUAUUCUUCCACAUAUUAUCCUACUAGCAUUAAAAAAAUAAUUAUGUCAAACAAAUGUUUUUCCACAUAUCAUGCCACUAACAUUAAAAAAAUAAUAAUAAUUUUAGUAAAUAUAAACUGUCAUGAGAGGAAAAAAAAACUCUUCAUACAUGAGUUUUAAAAAAAAUAAAAAAUAAACUCCCCACACAGUGCGGAGAGAUGGCAAACCAUGUGCGGAGUAUAGAAGGAAAAACAACUCUACGCAUAGUGCAGAGAUGACAAACCAUGUGCGGAGAGUUGGCAAACUCUCCGUACGGUGCGAAAUAAAAAAAAACUCUCCAUACAGUGCGGAGAGAUGGCAAACACCAUGGCAAAACUCUCCGCACAAUGCGGAGAGAUGACAUUCUGUGUGGACACUGUCCUCACAAAGUGCGGGCUCUCCAUACAGUGCAAAGUAAAAAAAGCAAAAAAAAAAAAAAAAACUUCGCACAGUGCGAAGAGUUGACAAAUUCUCCGUACAGUGCGAAAUUAAAAGAAAAAAAACAUCUCCACACAGUGACUGUCACGUGCGUUGCAAGAAUUUUGCAUUUAUCGUAUUUUUAUUAGUGUAUGAAUUUUAAUUUUUUGGAAAGUUUUUGAAACAAUACUUAAAAAUAUUUCCAUGAUAUAAGAAAAUAAUUGCAAAUUAUUUUUACAAUUGUAUAAUAGUAUUGUGUCAUCUAGAAAAAAUAUACUUGUAUAUUUCAUAUUUGAAUAAGAAAUAUAUGAGAUCAUACAAAUUAUUUUGUUUGUAUUCUUUGAUAGUGUUGAUAUUAUUGAGUUGAAUGUGAAGAUUAUAUUUCUAGAUUUUGUGUAAUUCAAUAUUAGAAAAUUGAAAAUUGAGCACCAUAUUCAUAUGCAUUUAUAUUUUGUGCUUCAUAUAUAUUUAAUAUUUAUAUUAUGCUUAUGUUGAAAAAAAUAAAAAUCUGAUUUUUUUUUGAAAUUCGAUUUGAUAAGUGAAUGUACGGUGUUCUGCAUUCUUGGUAUUAGUAAGUGCAAAAAUCGAUAUAUAAAAAUACAGUAAGCUGCAAAUACGGUAGACAGCAUAUACGGUAAAUUGUAAAUAUGGUAAGUAGCAUAUACGGUAAGUAGCAAAUACGGUAAGGUGAAAAUACGAUAAGUUAUUUGCAAAUACAGUAAGUUGCAAAUACGGUAGGCAACAUAUACAGUAAGGUUCAAAUACAAUAAGAUGCAAAUACGGUAAGUUGUUUACAAAUACGGUAGACUGAAAAUAAGAUAAGCUGCAAAUACGAUAGACAGCAUUUGCGGUAAGCUGCCUGCAAAUACCGUAAGGUGCAUAUAUGGAUUUAUAAUUUGUUAUAAAUGUAUAAAAUCUAUUUAAUAUUGAAUUUCUUAAGUAUUAACUGUACAAUUCAAUAUUGUUUCCUUUUUUAUAAUUGUAUUUUCGAGAAUUAAAAAAAUGGUUAUGAAAUUAUUAAUUUUUAAAUGUGUUUUUUUGUUGAAAAGAAAAAUGAUUUUUUUAUGUUAUUUGUAAAAAAAAAAUAUAUUGUAAUUUUAUUAGCGCAAUAAGAAGAUUUAUUAUCCAUUUUUAUUUUUUGCAUUUUGUGAAAAAAUUUGUUUAUGGUGAUUGACAAAUAUACUUUUACACACACACAUCAUGCCAACAAUAUAAAAAAAGAAUAAUAAUUUUAAUAUAUAUAAACUCCAUGAAACACAAAAAAAAUCUCCGCACAUGAGCAAAAAAAAAAAAGACUCCGCAAAGUGCGGAGAGAUGGCAAACUAUCUGUCCGCAUAGUGUGAAGAGAAAAAUAAAAACUCUCGGGAUUUUAUCUGCAAGUUCCAAGAGGUCUUUUCUCAAACAACCUUUGAGCAAUGCAUUGAAUACUUUAAUUCCUGGUCUACAACCCGAAAGUAUAAUUUCGUUGAAAAUUGUAUCCACUUCUAAUGUCCAAAAGCUGUUAUUAAGCAAGUGUAAAAUAUUGAAUUUGGAUGGUAUCCUAAAGCCUCCUUUUGUGAAAGCAAUGCCAUUGUACUAUCAAUAUCCCCUUCUUUGCACAACUCACAUAUUAUUUCAUUCUAUGAUUUGCAUGCUCAGAAAUUGAACUGUGACCGAAAUUUAAUGAAGACAUUAUUGAUUUUGAGCCAUGUUUUUCAACUCUGUUUCAUUGUAUAUACGAAAAAUUUACAAUAUUGAAAUUUGACUUGUAAUUAAGGAAUUUGAAAACAACUCUCCGUACUGUGCGGAGAGUUUUGCCAUGGUGUGAACCAACUCUCCGCAUUGUGCGGAGAGAGUAAGUUUGUCAUCUUUCCGCAUUGUGCAGAGAGAUUUUUUUUUACUUCGUACUGUGUGAAGAAUUUGCCAACUCUCCACACAUGGUUCAAUUCUCUCCGCACCUUUUUUUAUUUUUACUCCGCACUUGGUUCAACUCUUUUCGCACUGUGCAGAGAAUUUUUUUUUCAAUUUUACAAUAUUUAAUUAAACAAAUUUAUAAAUAUAAUAUUCACAUUCAAUUCAAUCAUAUCAACACCAUCAAAGAAUACAAACAAAAUAGUUUGUAUAUUUCUUAUUCAAGCAGAUUUUUUUUAGAUAACAUAUUGCUAUGCAAUUGUAAAAAUAAUUUACAAUUAUUGUCUUAUAUCAUGAAAAUAUUUUUAGAUAUUGCUUCAAAAAUUUUUUAAAAAAAUUAAAAUUCAUACACUAAUAAAAAUCCGAUAAAUACAAAAUUCGUGCAGCGCACGUGAUAGCGACUAGUAUUCUUCUAAUGUGCAUGAAACCAUAAUUUAUUUCUUAAUUGUUAAUCGCACAUUUUUCGUAAAAUAAUUUUUCACAAAACUUAUUUUAAAAAAUCUACAACAAAUAUGCACUAAAUCAAAAGAACGUUAAACAUUGAAUUUCAUUAACUUUCUCAUUUCCCUUUCUCUGAAAUGUGCUAAAAUUUUUCAUAUGAUCUAAAAUAAACGAUUACAAGAUCGAGGAAGAUUUCAUAAUCAAUAUAGAUUAAUGUGAAAUAAAAGCCAAGACCUCAUGGAAUUUAAGCAUCAAUUUUUUUGAACAUAAAUACAAGUUGCAACAUAAAUAGUAAAUACUAUUAACUAGUUGUAUCAAGAAAUUUCUUGGCAUUGUUUUUAAAUUUUUUAAGAGGUUCAUUUGAAUUUUUGUUCAAUUGAUUAUGCCAAUAUACAAAUCGUGCAAGACUAUCAAAUAAUUCAAACUUAAACUCUUUUUCUUCUUAAGUAUGACUAUCUAUUAAACACAAGCAAAUGAACAAAAAUAUAACAUUAGAAGACUUUGUUGAACUCACAUAAAGUAUUAUACAAUGCUUUAAAAACCAACUUGAUCAUCAACCCAAAAAAAGGUCAAGGAUCAAGAGUCAAAAAGUUCAACUAGGGUCGAAUUGGGAUCGAACCGAAUGUAGUAAAUACAUAAAAAAUAAAAUACUAUGAAAACAAUAAUUUUUUUCAUAUUAAUAAUUUGUUAAUUAGAUUCAUUAUUUCAUAGUUUCUUAACAUUUUUGUUAUGCUAUUAUUCCAUAUUGGAAGUUUAUGAAACCAUUGAAGAGAAGUGCAUCUGUAAAAUGCACUAUCGCACAUUGAAAGUUUAUAAAAUCAUUUAAGAGAGGUGCAUUUAUAAAAGGAACAUCUCAUCCAAUAUUUCUACAUGGGCCUUUGAAUUGUUGUUUACGAGACCCAUUCAUGAAGUUGAAAAUUUUCAAAUUAAAAAAAGAAAGGGAAAACCACAAAUCGAGACUGGUUCAUCGGUUUACAAUUAAACCGGUGGGUUUGAUGGGUUUUUAAGCGGCUUAGUUAUAAGCGGUUAACUAGACAUGAUUGACCUGGUUUUACCGGUUGAACCAGCCGGGCCAGGCCGUUUUGAUAACAUCGAUAUUAUAUCAUUUGACAAUUCAUUCAGGACAAUGCUACCUGUACAUAAUUUUUUACACACGGCCUUACACACCCUUCACUUGGAGGGGGCCCACACACAAUAAAAUAUUUGUGGGUCCCCUUUCAUGUGAGGAGAGUUUAAAGCUGUGUGUAUACCUUGAGAUGUAUAUAUAGUAUUAUUCAUUCAUAAAAACCUCAUAAGUAAUGCAACUAAAGCUAAUCCUUCAAUUAUUCAAUGCUUGACUUAUGUGCGCACAUGCAUGCAUAGUCAAUUUAAUCAUUACGAGCUUUUAGGAUGGUUAUCUCCUGACACUUAAUAAUCAAAUAUUUUCUUUUCUUUUUCCUCGUGGGAUUCAUACCCACAAACUUUUUUUUGUCCCAAUCAAAUAUUUAAGUUGUAUAUUUUAUGGUUGAUUUUAUAAUACUAAGUCAUUUUCCUCUCAAAUUUGGUUAGGUUUUAUCAAUGAAAGUCACUGUCUCGAUAUGUGAUGGUUCUCUUUAGAUUUGAAUGUUUCAAUCUCCAAGCUUCAAUUAGGAUAAUAACCAUCACUGGAAAUCUAAAUUUCAAAUUAAGUAUUCAACGCUUAGCCAUAUAAUGACAAUGUUUAUAAUUGUUCUGCCACAGUCUCAACACACUUUGAUAUAUAUAUUUUUCUUUUAAUUUGUCUCUUCUUCCAAUUUUGGGAUCUUUCCUUUAGUUAUCAAAUGUAGUUUUCACUAUACAUUGCAGAUAACCUUCUUCAUUGAUAGAUCGUCUCCUAAACAUCGAUGAUAAAUUGGGCAAAAAAAAAAAAAAACAUUCUAGAAAAAUAUCCAGUGAGUACAAAAUCAACACAUAUGUACUUCCAACAUCGGGACAACCACUCCCAAAGCAUUCCUUUCAACAAGUCAUUUGCACUACAUAAUUUAAUCUUAGAUUAUAAAGAACUAAGUUCAUUACAUAUUCUAUAAAAGUAAUCAAAUCAAAAAUACAUAAAAGCAUCAUGACUAUUGUGCUCAAUAUAAUAUUACUUCACACAAUCCAAAAAAUAUUUGGGUGUGUGGGGUUGGGUGCAAAUUUUAUUUGAUUUUUGAUUUAAUUAUUUUAAUUAUUUAAAUUGAGAAAUGUAAAUUUAGUAUUUUAUCCUUUUAAAAAUUGGUUGAAAACAACUUUUCUGGUCAAUUAACGGUGGAAUGGAUGGAUUCCAUCUAUUUGUCUUUCUACUGCAAAGAAAUUAAAUGUUUAGGACUGUGAGGGACAUAAAUAAAAAGUUUGGAUAUUAUCUAAAAUUAAUUGAAAAAUAUUAGCAUUUUUAAAUUUUGGCCCUAAUUAGUGUAUUUUUAAUGCUUAAAGUAACGAAAUUGAAUGGUAGAUAGUAUUUUGCAAGGUUUGAGCUAUCUAUGGGGAUUUUCACCAAAAAUGAAAAACUAAAAGGAUAUUCCUCAAAGACGGAACUGUCAAAAAGUUUAGAGUGAAUUACCCUUAAAGUCCGUUUGAUAGCAAAGGUUAAAAAGAUACACUAAUUCCACGUAAGUUGGGAAAGAAAAAAUCACCAAAAUCAUAAGAAUUCGAUUUUUAUGAAAUUGGCCAAAAAAUAUUCUUUAAGUGUUUGUACCUUGAAAUUUGAACUUCAUUUUCACUUUCGUAUCAAAUAGUUAAGGUAGAAAAACGAAUUCAUUUCCAUGAAAUACGAAGUUAUCAAUUGGAAUAAUUUUGCUUUUUGCUCUACUUUUUAUUGUACCCCCAAAAUGCCACGCGUGCCCUUAGUCCCGUUGGGCUCUUUCCUAUCACAAAAUUAUAGUAUUCGCUAGAAUCACAAUGAACUAUCCAGUAGCUUUCACGCAGGCCAUGGAAUGGAUGGAUUCCAUCUAUUUGUCUUUCUACUGCAAAGAAAUUAAAUGUUUAGGACUGUGAGGGACAUAAAUAAAAAGUUUGGAUAUUAUCUAAAAUUAAUUGAAAAAUAUUAGCAUUUUUAAAUUUUGGCCCUAAUUAGUGUAUUUUUAAUGCUUAAAGUAACGAAAUUGAAUGGUAGAUAGUAUUUUGCAAGGUUUGAGCUAUCUAUGGGGAUUUUCACCAAAAAUGAAAAACUAAAAGGAUAUUCCUCAAAGACGGAACUGUCAAAAAGUUUAGAGUGAAUUACCCUUAAAGUCCGUUUGAUAGCAAAGGUUAAAAAGAUACACUAAUUCCACGUAAGUUGGGAAAGAAAAAAUCACCAAAAUCAUAAGAAUUCGAUUUUUAUGAAAUUGGCCAAAAAAUAUUCUUUAAGUGUUUGUACCUUGAAAUUUGAACUUCAUUUUCACUUUCGUAUCAAAUAGUUAAGGUAGAAAAACGAAUUCAUUUCCAUGAAAUACGAAGUUAUCAAUUGGACCUUAGUAAAAAUAAUUUUGCUUUUUGCUAUACUUUUUAUUGUACCCCCAAAAUGCCACGCGUGCCCUUAGUCCCGUUGGGCUCUUUCCUAUCACAAAAUUAUAGUAUUCGCUAGAAUCACAAUGAACUAUCCAGUAGCUUUCACGCAGGCCACCCCCCGCUUCUUCACCAAAUGUCGACCACCAAAAUGACACCGUCCGCUGCCGGACUCUCCGCCACAAUCAAACAUCUCAGCUGCCUUUCAUCAUCACGGACCUUCUUCGCUACCUCCAUUAGAUUAACCCGACCCGGAAUUGGAAAGAGGGCGAGAAGCCUGACCGUGACAAUGAGUUCAAAACCGUCCGACCCGCUUGAAGUUUGUGCUAAGGCUUCCCUCACCAAGCCCAACAAGCUCGGCGACUGUGAGUGAAAUUGAAUUAUAUUGUUUAAACAUGGAAUUCAUUUGGGUUUUGUUUUCUUUUCUGUAAUUAAGUUUAGUUCGCAGAAGAAAGGAGUACAAUAGGAUGUUUGGCCAAGCUUAGAAAAUCACUAAUAAGUAAUUUUAUAAUUCGGAUUAGACUUGAAACCACUUUGUUGUAAGCGGAAUGGCUUCGAUAGUUGAGAAUCCAGCCAAAUAAAGAUGAAAUAUGGGCAAUAUGAAAAUAAUGGAUCACAAGCAAAACAAGAUUUACAUGAAAACUCGAAUCCGGGAAAACCAUGAGCAGAAGUGGUGAAUUCAUUAUAAUCAAUAGUAUGGAGUUAUAAAGUAUCUUUUGGACCAAUAAUUAAUUGGAUAAUUGGUCAGUUUUAAUAUGUGUUGUACACCACAUAUUUAAUAUAAGGUGAAAGUCCCGAUACAAUAGGUAAAACCAAUAAUGGAGAAUUUGUGAUGAAAUAAGAGUUAAAUUCACCUUGGACUCCUUUAAAACAUCGUCAAGUCUACUACCAACUCCCAAUAUUUCUCCAACAAUAUUUCCCAUUAAAU
RNAcentral lists this long non-coding RNA (38947 nucleotides) under Olea europaea (common olive). Its description in RNAcentral is "long non-coding RNA (OEUR_LNC005600)". The record is from RNAcentral. Lineage: Eukaryota; Viridiplantae; Streptophyta; Magnoliopsida; Lamiales; Oleaceae.